RNAcentral lists this non-coding RNA (29 nucleotides) under Rattus norvegicus (Norway rat). Lineage: Eukaryota; Metazoa; Chordata; Mammalia; Rodentia; Muridae. The record is from RNAcentral.
AACGCUUAGUGAGUAAGAAACUUAAUUUU